This 555-nucleotide ribosomal RNA is filed under the name uncultured Rhizobium sp. RNAcentral describes it as "bacterial LSU rRNA". The stretch from base 209 to 555 matches the Rfam family "Bacterial large subunit ribosomal RNA", at positions 1316 to 1776 of the family's 2925-position model. The record is from RNAcentral. Lineage: Bacteria; Pseudomonadati; Pseudomonadota; Alphaproteobacteria; Hyphomicrobiales; Rhizobiaceae.
CUAACAGGAAACGUACAGGCAAGUUAGAGUUACCCCUCUCACAGGAUACCUGAAGUACUAAAAUAAUUAAUACACAUGCAAACGAUAUAAACAGAACACAGGAAUAAACGACGUGCUGUGCACGACUAUGACCAGGUACUGAAUAAAACACGGACCGCAAAACUCGUAUAAACCAAAACAAAAGAACGACAAGACAAGACAGCAGCUCGUGUGGUGACUCCAGCCCUCCACCAGGCCGGGUUGUGUCUGCAGAACACAAAUCAUAAAUUAAAAACCUAACGGAGGCAGAAAUGCGUAGACGAUGGGAACCACGUUAAUAUUCGUGGGCCUGGUGGUAGUGACGGAUCGCGCAGAGCUGUAUUCCCUUAUCGGAUUGGGAGUGCAGUGAGCCGGUUCCAGGAAAUAGCUCCACCAACAUAGACCGUACCCUAAACCGACACAGGUGGACUGGUAGAGUAUACCAAGGCGCUUGAGAGAACUAUACUGAAGGAACUCGGCAAAUUGCACGCGUAACUUCGGGAUAAGCGUGACCUCACAUCGGGAACCGGUGGCGGG